This 631-nucleotide ribosomal RNA is filed under the name Ascomycota sp. FL14. RNAcentral describes it as "eukaryotic LSU rRNA". The stretch from base 265 to 419 matches the Rfam family "5.8S ribosomal RNA". The record is from RNAcentral. Lineage: Eukaryota; Fungi; Ascomycota.
CUUCCGUAGGGGUACCUGCGGAAGGAUCAUUACCGAGUUAGGGUCGCCCUCCGGGGUGCCCGAACCUCCCAACCCUGUGUCUAAGUUACCUCUCGUUGCUUCGGUGGGCCGGUCCGGACUGAAACACUGUCUGGACCGCCGGCCAGGGGGUUUUAAACCCCCCCGGUUGGAGAGCCUGCCCGCCGACGGCCACCAAAUUUAACUAAACUCUUGUACCAAAAUCGUGUCGUCUAAAAACAAAUUUUGAAACAAAAAUUAAAACAAAACUUUCAACAACGGAUCUCUUGGUUCUGGCAUCGAUGAAGAACGCAGCGAAAUGCGAUAAGUAAUGCGAAUUGCAGAAUUUCCGUGAGUCAUCGAAUCUUUGAACGCACAUUGCGCCCAUUGGUAUUCCGAUGGGCAUGCCUGUUCGAGCGUCAUUAUCCUCCCUCAAAACCCCCGUGUUUUGGUGUUGGACUAGGUCGUUUGGGUGACCGAACGACCGGUCUCAAAGACAAUGACGGCGUCCGUGGGGACCCUCUUCGCAACGAGCUCUUCUCCGGAAAGCACGCGUCGAGUUUCAAGGACCCCGGCGGGCCGGUCACACUCCUUUUAUUUUCUAAGGUGACCUCGGAUCAGGUAGGAACCCCCU